CAUCGUGUGGCAGAUUUAAUGCCUAGACUUUAAGCGUCUAUCAUAAACUUUUAUGUUUCACAAUGU
RNAcentral lists this transfer RNA (66 nucleotides) under Ascobulla fragilis. RNAcentral describes it as "tRNA-Leu". The record is from RNAcentral. Lineage: Eukaryota; Metazoa; Mollusca; Gastropoda; Volvatellidae.